Lepus europaeus (European hare) is the source of this 3167-nucleotide RNA transcript. It is a transcript of the gene named RWD domain containing 3, with no coding region annotated. The record is from RefSeq and is a predicted model, not a curated record. The transcript has 3 exons. Lineage: Eukaryota; Metazoa; Chordata; Mammalia; Lagomorpha; Leporidae.
GGGAAGUGCCGAGCUGGCCGGGCGGCGCGGCCAUGGCAGAGUCGAUGCAGGAGGAGCUCUCGGCCUUGGCCGCGAUCUUCUGCGGGCCCCACGAGUGGGAGGUGCUGAGCCGCUCAGAGACAGAUGGGGCCGUGGUCAGAGUCCACACCGAAGCUGAAGGACUGAAGGGUGUGCACGUGCCCCUGGAGCUCGUGUUCCAUUUACCGGCCAGCUACCCUCUGUGUCUCCCUGGAAUCUCCGUUCACUCCGAGCACCUGACCAGGGCCCAGUGCGAGGCUGUGAGAGGGAAGUUACUGGAGCGAGCGGCGCAGCUCGUGUCGGAGCCCAUGGUGCACGAGCUGGUUCUCUGGAUCCAGCAGCAUCUGGGGCGCAUCCUGGCCGGCCUGGAGACAAAGGCGGGCAGCCCCCAGCGCGCUUUUCCAACAAGCACGGCUGCGGACGACGGCCUGUGGAUGAUUCUUCUGCAUUUAGAUCACAUGAGAGCCAGGGCCAAAUACAUCAAAACCGUGGAGACAUGGGCUUCAGACUUGAGGCUGACGGGAAGACUGAUGUUCCUGGGUAAAAUCAUACUGAUUUUACUCCAAGGAGACCGAAAUAGCAUCAAGGUGCCAACACGUUCAGUGUUGAAUGGGAAUCUGGCUGUUUUCUGUUUAAAAUGGUGUGCCUUUACGUGUGCUUUAUAACAAUAGGAUAAUCAUUAGGAUGUUUCUGCUUUCACUAUUACUAUGUUACUGAAUCUUCAUUUAUUCUUUAAAGAAUGUCCAACUCCUGAUUACAGCUACAAACUUGCAAAGCUUGAAGAAGGAGUGUAAGAGUAGGUUGUGAAAAAUCAUGCCACUUCAGGGGAGUGACAGGUUCUAAGAGACUCUGUGGCUUGUCUGUUUAUUUCUAUAGUCAGUCGUGAGCCUCAAUUUUCUAAAUGGACAGGAAUGUAUGUGCAUAUUAAUAGUUCCUUCCAUAGCCAGUAGCCUGCAAAACAUGUGACUUCGUGGCAGUUAAAAAUUCAUCCUGACACGUUAAUUUGGAUCUAUACUACCCAGAAAGAGGUGCUUGUCCCUUGUAACCAAGAUUUAGUGUUAGUAAAAGUAGAGUCAUUAGGGCUGUCAGCUUGUCACCUCCUACUAACUUUUGCUUUCCACCUGACUUGUCUCAGCAGCUGCUUUCAAAAUCGUCAUCUUCAGAAUUUUCCAGCCUGUUUUAUGUGGGACCAGAUGAGGAAAACUGCUUAUUAUAUUUUAAAUAUUAAAGGAGCUGCAAAUCACAGAAUAGUUCUUUUUUUUUUUUUUUUACUUUUAGAUAGAUUGGGUCAGGAAUAAUUAUAACUGAACUCCUUUCUAACAGAUUUAGCAUGAACAGCCUAUAAUCUUCAGACUUGUAGAAUAACGACCUAGUUCUUUCAUGAUGGGCUCUCAUCACAAAAUGACUGGCAUUUGGUUAACCAGAUUCAUGCUGGGUUAUGGGAAAGAGAUAUAACAAUAAUUCACAUGUGGUAUGUAUUCUGGGUCCGGUACUGUUUUAUGGUGAUUUCCAGUGUAUCUAUAACUGUCUGGCUAAAUGCAGCUGUUUUGUGGAUGUUGUCACUCAGAUUGAAUCAUCAGUUGAGAAGUAUGUAGUCAUAUGACUAGAACUCUGCUAAUGAACUUUUUAAAGAGUUCUUUUGUAUGAGUUGUUUCUAAAACUUUACGUGAAUUUCUCUGUUGAAUUUUGUUAUUUUCAAAAAUUUCUUAAAGUUUAUUUUAAAGGGAGAGAGAGAGAGAGAGAGAGAGAGAGAUCAUCCAUCUUCUGGCUCAUUUCCCCAUGCCUGCAGCAACCAGAGGUGGGCUAGGCUGAAACCAGGAUCUAGGAACACCACCCACAUCUCCCACAUCGGUGGUUGGGACCUAAGUACUCUAGCCAUCAUUUGCUGCCUCCCAGGGUGUGCAUUGGCAAGCUGCUGGAUCAGAAGUGGAGGCAAGGAUUUGAUCCUUGGUAGUCUGAUAUCAGAUGCACAUGUCCCAAGUGGAGGCUUAUCCCACUGUAUCACAACAUCUCUCCUUCCCCGCCCCCAUUAUUUUAUAUUUUAAGUUUUCAUUACAUUUGAAAGACAGAAAUCUUCCAUCUACUGGUUCACUUUUAAAUGCCCACAGCAGCUAAUGCAGGGCCAGGCCAAAGCCAGGAGCCUGGAACUCAAUCUGGGUCUCCUAUAUGGGUGUCAGGGACUCAGCACUUGAACCAUCACCUGCUGCUACCCAGGGUCUGCACUAGCAGGAAGCUGGGUUGGAAGCAGAGGAGCCAGCACUCAAAUCCGCUCUCUGGUAUAGGAUGCAGGUAUCUCAAGCAGCAUCUCAACUGCUGUGCUGAACACCUGCCCCAAAUUUUGAAAUUUGUAGACUGGGAUUGAGAAUAUAUAGGAACAUAUUUAUGGAUGUCAUCAAUUUGAAAUGGUAAGUGCUGUGUGACUGAUACAUUUAUUCCCAUGCUGCAUUAGUAAUAACAACAGUGGUGGCUUGUGCUCUUAAAUGUGCCAAAGCACUUGUAUGCCAGGUACCCAUCUAAGUGCUUUUUUUGUUUGUUUGUCUUUAAAGAUUUGUGUUAUUUAUUUGAAAUGCAGUGUGUGUGUGUGUGUGUGUGUGUAUUUGAGAGAGAGAGAGAGAGAGAGAGAGAGAGAAAAUGAGAGAGACAAAGAGAUCUCCCAUCCGCUGGUUCAAUCCCCAAAUAGCAGACCAAAGCCACGUGCCAGGAAAGGAAUCCCAGUCUCCCACGUGGGUGGCAGAGCCCCGAUUAUUUGGGCCAUCUUUUGCUGCUUUCCCCGGCACAGUAUCAGGGAUCUGGAUCAGAAUCAGAGCAGCUGGGAUUCAAACAGCUUCCUCAUGAGGUGGAGCGUGCCAUGAGUCCCAUUUUAUGGAGGAUGUAACUGAGGCACAGAGGAUUUAAUAACCAGCCCAGGGUGCCAUCUAGAGGGCAGUCCAGUCCAGGUUUAAACUUGAGCAGUUCCGUGACAUCACUCUUGAUUCCUGCCUUCACCAGCAGGUUAUUCUGCCAAACAUGUGGAAACACUGUAUAACUCUUACUGAUUGAUUCCAAAAGAGAGUCGUCUGCAAGCAUGAAAAUAAGCCUGCAAGUUUGUGGCUGCUUUCAAAGUAGAACUUUGAGACACAGAGUAAGCGACGUAUUUAACAUUCUGAUUU